This 73-nucleotide transfer RNA is filed under the name Canis lupus familiaris (dog). It matches the Rfam family "tRNA". Rfam says of the family: Transfer RNA (tRNA) molecules are approximately 80 nucleotides in length. Their secondary structure includes four short double-helical elements and three loops (D, anti-codon, and T loops). RNAcentral also lists the same sequence under 1 other name. Lineage: Eukaryota; Metazoa; Chordata; Mammalia; Carnivora; Canidae. The record is from Rfam by way of RNAcentral.
ACCUGGCUGGUUCAGUCAGAGGAGCCUGUGACUCUUGAUCUCAAGGUUGUGGGUUCGAGCCCCACGCUGGGUG